This 252-nucleotide ribosomal RNA is filed under the name uncultured bacterium. Its description in RNAcentral is "partial 16S ribosomal RNA". It matches the Rfam family "Bacterial small subunit ribosomal RNA", at positions 524 to 776 of the family's 1533-position model. The record is from RNAcentral.
UACAGAGGGUGCGAGCGUUAAUCGGAGUUACUGGGCGUAAAGGGCGCGUAGGCGGUUAUAUAAGUGAGAUGUAAAUCCCUGGGCUUAACCUAGGAACUGCAUCUCAUACUGUAUGACUGGAGUAUUGUAGAGGGUAGUGGAAUUUCCGGUGUAGCGGUGAAAUGCGUAGAGAUCGGAAGGAACACCAGUGGCGAAGGCGGCUACCUGGACAAAUACUGACGCUGAGGCGCGAGAGCGUGGGGAGCAAACAGG